RNAcentral lists this ribosomal RNA (253 nucleotides) under uncultured bacterium. RNAcentral describes it as "partial 16S ribosomal RNA". It matches the Rfam family "Bacterial small subunit ribosomal RNA", at positions 524 to 776 of the family's 1533-position model. The record is from RNAcentral.
UACGUAGGUGGCGAGCGUUGUCCGGAAUUACUGGGUGUAAAGGGCGUGUAGGCGGGGAUGUAAGUCAGAUGUGAAAUACCGAGGCUUAACUUCGGGGCUGCAUCUGAAACUAUGUCUCUUGAGUGUCGGAGAGGAAAGCGGAAUUCCCAGUGUAGCGGUGAAAUGCGUAGAUAUUGGGAGGAACACCAGUGGCGAAGGCGGCUUUCUGGACGAUAACUGACGCUGAGGCGCGAAAGCGUGGGGAGCAAACAGG